Molecule: transfer RNA, 72 nt
Filed under: Ovis aries (sheep)
Lineage: Eukaryota; Metazoa; Chordata; Mammalia; Artiodactyla; Bovidae
Rfam family: tRNA
About the family: Transfer RNA (tRNA) molecules are approximately 80 nucleotides in length. Their secondary structure includes four short double-helical elements and three loops (D, anti-codon, and T loops). Further hydrogen bonds mediate the characteristic L-shaped molecular structure. tRNAs have two regions of fundamental functional importance: the anti-codon, which is responsible for specific mRNA codon recognition, and the 3' end, to which the tRNAs corresponding amino acid is attached (by aminoacyl-tRNA synthetases). tRNAs cope with the degeneracy of the genetic code in two manners: having more than one tRNA (with a specific anti-codon) for a particular amino acid; and 'wobble' base-pairing, i.e. permitting non-standard base-pairing at the 3rd anti-codon position.
Source: Rfam by way of RNAcentral
UCCCUGGUGGCUCAAACAGUAAAGAAUCUACCUGCAAUGUAGGAGACCUGGGUUCAAUCCCUGGCUUAGGAA